This is a long non-coding RNA of Oryzias melastigma (Indian medaka), 255 nucleotides long. RefSeq lists it as uncharacterized. The transcript has 2 exons. The record is from RefSeq and is a predicted model, not a curated record. NCBI's taxonomy places the organism in Eukaryota, Metazoa, Chordata, Actinopteri, Beloniformes, Adrianichthyidae.
GCUCAGACUCCAACUCUGGAUCUAACUCGAAUGAAGCAACCACCACCACUGCUACAACAACUACAGCUGCAGGAACUACACUAUCAGUGAACCAGCUGAUUGCUCAACUGGUGGCACUACUAGGAUAAAAUUAAGUCUGCCAUGGAGCCAGAAUUCAACUAGUGCUCAAAAAAAAGCAUUUUGUUAAGAACAUCAAACCUGGCUUCUGUUGUUAUUGGCUUGUCUUUAAGCAAUAAAAAUUAAAUUCAUCAUGAA